Long non-coding RNA from Gadus macrocephalus (Pacific cod), 137 nucleotides. RefSeq lists it as uncharacterized. Lineage: Eukaryota; Metazoa; Chordata; Actinopteri; Gadiformes; Gadidae. The transcript has 2 exons. The record is from RefSeq and is a predicted model, not a curated record.
GAGUUACCCUGCGUUCACACCAAAAGAUGCAUUUGCUGCCCGAACGCGUUGUCGCCGAAGUUUUGCGGCGCAGCAAAUCAAGUUUUGCGCAGCAACAGUUUUGCAGCGCGGGAAGUUUCGCGGCACGGCAAGUUUUG